Molecule: long non-coding RNA, 1920 nt
Filed under: Nicotiana tabacum (common tobacco)
Lineage: Eukaryota; Viridiplantae; Streptophyta; Magnoliopsida; Solanales; Solanaceae
Description: long non-coding RNA (NTAB_LNC006879)
Source: RNAcentral
UCUCCUCACCCCCAUAAACACUAGCAGCGCCGCCCUGAAACCCCUAGAUCGCCGGUGUGGCGCCGAUGCUAAUCACCCCCAAAUUUACACCCCUCGUCCUCCUCACUCCCCUUUUUCCAUCUAUGACAAUGGUUUCCCUCGAAUCAAGUCUACGCCUCUCGAAUCUUGAUUUUAAAUCAGACCCAAAACCCUAUUUUUGUCCAAAUGGCCCCAAAUCGGUACCUGAUAAUCCCCUGACCUUCCUCAUCCUGAAUCCCUGGUCGAAAUCCCUCGAAUCUCUCUGAAGCUCAGCAAAUAUCGGAUCUAGGGUUCAAGGUUCGAACUUGUUCUAGGGAAUUUUAAGGCAUCGAGUUAAUUUCUAAUUGAUGCCAUAUGCUUUACAAACAUCUAACUUCAACCAAAAAAUCAAGUUCGAUGAAUUGGUCAAGCGAAGAUUUUAGUCAUAAGUUUUCCUUCUCUGUUUUGAUUCAUUUUUUUUAAUCUUGUUUUUGGGUUCAUGUAUUAGUUGUUAAUGAAGUUAAGUUGUUAUCUGUUUCUAAUCGUUCAUGCUUCUGUUACAAUUCUAAGUUUAGAGUAUUUUGAUUCAUUUCGGUGUUUAGUUCUAUUUAGUUAGUAUAAUUCGAUUCGAUUAGAUUUUACUCGUUUUAAUUUCAACUUUAGUUCUGAUUUUGGCAAUAAUUGAAUUUGUAAAUAUUUGUAGGUGAUUUUGUUUCCUUCUUUAGUUUUGGUUUAGUAAUUCUAGACUUCUAUGUAUUUGUGAAUUCUGUUAUGAAUAUUGUUAGAUCUUAAUUGGUUUGAAUUAGUAUUCUGUUAGCUUGAUUAGUAGAUUUAGUUUUUCUUAAUUCAGUUUUUAAUAGUAAAGGUUUGGUUGAUUGGACUUAGCUGAAUAGUCUAAAUACUUGUUUAACUAACUUGAAUCUGUAGCUAGGGUAAAAGGGCUGUGGUUGGGUAGUAAUUCCAGAGUGAAAGUAAGGGUAGUUCAGGCAUAGGAAAGGGUAACUUUUAUUAAGUUUGGUAAUUUCAAAAUCAAGACAGGGGUAGUAUAGGCAUUGUAUGGCUAAAAGAACCUUCCAAGACAUUCCAAAUGGGGUUUUAGUGUAAGUUUUAAUAAUUUUGGUAGUAGUUACUUGGGGAACAAGUUGGGAAAUAAGGGACUAAGAUUGAAAACAGAAUAUUGAAGGGCUUCCCUUAUCUUUGCUUAUAAAUUGGCAUUUUCAUGCCUUGUGAAGGGGUUCCUUUCCAGCCAAAAAAAAAAAAAUCACCCCUCACAAACAUUCUCUUCAUUUUUAGAUCUAAGAACUGAAAUUCAAAACUUCAAAAGCCAAAAACAAACAGAAAAUUUUGGAAAAUCCAAAAAAAAAAAAUCACUGUUUCAUUGGAAAUUGUACGUUAAUUUUGAUGUUCUAGUUAUUAAUUCACAUCUCCCUUGAUCUCUUUAAUUGUUGAAAGUCCAGACGUGUUCUAGUUUGAUUUCGAAUAGUUUUUUUUGAAUUCAGUCCUUUUGUUUUGGGUGUUUUGUUGUUGCUGCUGGGUUUACCACUCUGUCCGGUCUUGGUUGAGUGCAUUUUCUGGGUUAAGUUCGAGUUUGCUGUGUUGACUGAGCAAUUACUGGAUUUUGAAACCUUCCUGAGUUGUUAGUUCUGUUUUUUAUGGGUUCUGCUCAUUACUGUUGCUGAUCCUCUGAUUUAUGCUGUUGAUCCUCAUCUCUUCUUGUUGAAAUUCAAUUUCCAGGUACAUGCUCGAAAUUACAUUGAUGUGACCACAACUUGGAGUGAGUGCAAUGGAAUUGAUUGUUCUGUGUUCAUCUUUGGAUACAUAUAGCUGUAAUUGUUCAAUUAGAAAAGAUGUAUAUGUGACUCAUUGAAUUCGACUUGUAUUUAGGACCGUUAAUGUAAUGGACUGUAUAAGUAUGUUUGUGAA